Molecule: ribosomal RNA, 460 nt
Filed under: uncultured bacterium
Lineage: Bacteria
Description: partial 16S ribosomal RNA
Rfam family: Bacterial small subunit ribosomal RNA
Source: RNAcentral
CCUACGGGUGGCAGCAGUGAGGAAUAUUGGUCAAUGGGCGCGAGCCUGAACCAGCCAAGUAGCGUGAAGGAUGACUGCCCUACGGGUUGUAAACUUCUUUUAUAAAGGAAUAAAGUGAGGCACGUGUGCCUUUUUGUAUGUAAUUUAUGAAUAAGGAACGGCCAACUCCGUGCCAGCAGCCGCGGUAAUACGGAGUAUCCGAGCAUUAUCCGGAUUUAUUUGGUUUAAAGGGAGCGUAGAUGGGUUGUUAAGUCAGUUGUGAAAGUUUGCGGCUCAACCGUAAAAUUGCCAUUGAUACUGGCAGUCUUGAGUACAGUUGAGGUAGGCGGAAUGCGUGGUGUAGCGGUGAAAUGCUUAGAUAUCACGAAGAACUCCGAUUGCGAAGGCAGCUUACUAAACUGCCACUGACAUUGAUGCUCGAAAGUGUGGGUAUCAAACAGGAUUAGAUACCCGGGUAGUC